AGACAGUUCGGUCCCUAUCUGCUGUGGGCGUUGGAUGAUUGAGGGGAGCUGCUCCUAGUACGAGAGGACCGGAGUGGACGAACCGCUGGUGUUCGGGUUGUGUCGCCAGACGCAUUGCCCGGUAGCUAAGUUCGGCACAGAUAAGCGCUGAAAGCAUCUAAGCGCGAAGCUGGCCCCGAGAUGAGUCAUCCCUAGGGCUUCGAGCUCUCUAAAGGGUUGUUCUAGACUAGAACGUUGAUAGGCAGGGUGUGUAAGCGCUGUGAGGCGUUGAGCUAACCUGUACUAAUUGCCCGUGAGGCUUAACCAUACAACACCCAAG
RNAcentral lists this ribosomal RNA (319 nucleotides) under Salinivibrio sp. IB872. Its description in RNAcentral is "bacterial LSU rRNA". It matches the Rfam family "Bacterial large subunit ribosomal RNA", at positions 2624 to 2925 of the family's 2925-position model. Lineage: Bacteria; Pseudomonadati; Pseudomonadota; Gammaproteobacteria; Vibrionales; Vibrionaceae. The record is from RNAcentral.